AGCAUAUUAAGGAGUAGUAGAUUGAAACGGCAUAAAGAGAGCUGGUGGUUGGUGCAAACCAGUAUGCACGUCAAUCGAACUCGCCUUUGAAAAAUUAUGCAGGGAGACCUUUAUCAAAAUUAAGAGGGCUUUUCGCCAAUUAGGGUGGUACCGCGGGUUCCCCGUCCCUAAG
This 172-nucleotide non-coding RNA is filed under the name Caloramator mitchellensis. Its description in RNAcentral is "T-box sequence". It matches the Rfam family "T-box leader". Rfam says of the family: Uncharged tRNA acts as the effector for transcription antitermination of genes in the T-box leader family. T-boxes are found upstream of many aminoacyl-tRNA synthetase genes and some amino acid biosynthetic genes usually in Gram-positive bacteria. The record is from RNAcentral. Lineage: Bacteria; Bacillati; Bacillota; Clostridia; Eubacteriales; Clostridiaceae.